This 1359-nucleotide long non-coding RNA is filed under the name Homo sapiens (human). RNAcentral describes it as "HSALNT0332563". Lineage: Eukaryota; Metazoa; Chordata; Mammalia; Primates; Hominidae. The record is from RNAcentral.
UCCUGACCUUGUGAUCCGCCCACCUCAGCCUCCCAAAGUGCUGGGAUUACAAGCAUGAGCCACCAUGGCCAGCCUAGAGUUCUUUAAGAUAUGCGUUCCAUGGAUGCAUUACAGGAUGCCCACAGUGAUUCUUACCUGCAUGGCUACUUCUCAUGGCAGGACAAAGAAGGCAUUUUGGUUGAAUAAGAACUAAGGUUUGAACAGGAAAGAUGAGAAGAGCAGGAGAUGAGAUACCCUCUCCUCUCCUAGUCCUCCACCUCCAUCCCUCUUCAGUUUGGAUCCUGGCUGGGCUGGACCCCGCAUGUUGACAACAAGGAUGUGUUGUGUGGCAUCUUUUUAAUUAAUUUUCAUAUAUGAAUUUACAGGUAGGGUAAGGAUUUCUUCUGUGGAAAAUGGUGCUGAGAUUCCAAUCCCUGCUGAGUUGAGGUUAUAAAGCUAUGGUUGACCUGGAUGAUCUCAGUUGAAGGUCAUAUUUUGGAAACGGUAACAGUGGCUCUGGUAGGGAGUUCACAACAUGGUUGGUUCUGAGCAGGACCAACCAUGUGUUAGGGAAAAUAUUUAUUCAAUAGAAAAAUGAAUAAAAACCAGAAAGAGAAGAAGAGAAUUGCUGAUUCUGGAAAUGGCAAGGUGGCUGGUCCUGGAACUCAGCUUAGUCCACCCCUUGGCAGUUUUUAAUGUAUUCUCAGGGUAAGAUGUGUACAUGUAUUUGUAAAUGAGGCAUGAAUUUAAAGAACUGUUACUUCUGGGAACCCAGGAAGCUUUGCUGAGGGAUCUUACCCUGGAGAGCACAGUAUAAAAGAAAGUAAUUCUCUCUCUUGCCUCAUAGCAACUACUUUGGGGAAGGGACUUUACAAACAUCUGCCCCAAGGCUGGGUGACAGCUGCAUAUCUGUGCAGUGUUUGUACGGGGCAUGCAAUACUUUACACACUAGCAGGGACACCUGCAGCAUCAGUAGGUUUCUGGUCUACCAAGAGCAGUGUGAUGAUGCACUCCAGGCCAGCUGGGGUGGUUGCUGUGGCGAGUAACAUUGUUAAUUCUACCAACACAGGGGGCUGAUGGGUAAAUGACACUGUUGGCAUCAGCAGUGGGCAUGGUGUGCUAACCCUUAACACUGUGCCAGGUGGGGAUGUUGGACCCAGUGGGGAUUACAGUUUUGCUAUCUGUGUGUAAGAACAAUGCUCAGAACAGUGUGCAGCAUGGGUUGUGCAGUGCACGACAGGGGCAUGUGUGAGCACUCAGCAGAUUAUUGGAACUCCUUGGAAAACUGGACCAAGACCUCCAAGGCAGAAGGGUGCUUGGGGAUAUCACUGGAACUGUGAAAUAACCAUACAUAAAAACUAAGACAUUGUGAUCAAAGUA